GGCGAACGCUGGCGGCGUGCUUAACACAUGCAAGUCGAACGGAAAGGCCCUGCUUUUGUGGGGUGCUCGAGUGGCGAACGGGUGAGUAACACGUGAGUAACCUGCCCUUGACUUUGGGAUAACUUCAGGAAACUGGGGCUAAUACCGGAUAGGAGCUCCUGCUGCAUGGUGGGGGUUGGAAAGUUUCGGCGGUUGGGGAUGGACUCGCGGCUUAUCAGCUUGUUGGUGGGGUAGUGGCUUACCAAGGCUUUGACGGGUAGCCGGCCUGAGAGGGUGACCGGCCACAUUGGGACUGAGAUACGGCCCAGACUCCUACGGUAGGCAGCAGUGGGGAAUAUUGCACAAUGGGCGGAAGCCUGAUGCAGCAACGCCGCGUGCGGGAUGACGGCCUUCGGGUUGUAAACCGCUUUCGCCUGUGACGAAGCGUGAGUGACGGUAAUGGGUAAAGAAGCACCGGCUAACUACGUG
RNAcentral lists this ribosomal RNA (468 nucleotides) under uncultured bacterium. RNAcentral's name for it is "partial 16S ribosomal RNA". It matches the Rfam family "Bacterial small subunit ribosomal RNA", at positions 28 to 507 of the family's 1533-position model. The record is from RNAcentral.